AAUAGUACUUAAUAGACAAAGUAAUGCCCGGUAUAUAGCAUAGCCGUUCUAAUAUUUCAAUCAUGUUGGCUAGUAAUGUUUACGCUCGGUGCUUAAUUUCAGCUUUGUUUUUGUUACAUAGUUGUUAUGCGUGGACGGAAACCGCAGCAGUUCAAAACUUGUUAAAAGAACGGAGCCGUGAUCUACUCAAUGAUUUAGCUCGAAAAGGAGAGGCCGUGUGGCCUUACAGAAGAGUCUAUUCUCAAUACUCAAGCUUCGCUAUAGGGGAGCGAAUCUUUGUCGUGCGGGCGAGAUUCGCAGCCAUGAUGAGAGCAUUUUUGCGUACUAUUGUCAAAAAGAGAACAGCUGACGUGGAAACACUGGUACGACACGCAUUAAUGAUACAAGGACGUUGUCAGAGCAUUUAGGUAUAUGCUCAAUGACGAGUUGCAAGAAUUUGAUGCACUAAUCAAUAGAGAAGCUAAUCCCUUGAACUGGACGAGGUUCGAGAAACACAACUGCCACGUAGCAGGACCGCCCUGCGAAAUCAUGCCCGUACCAAAAGGCUACUUUAGGCGGAGCGCUAUGAAGGAGGCCCUUCAAGAAAUCGAAACCAGAAGGAAAUUUAUCCGAGAAAAAUACAAACCGCAAAAGAAUAAACCCACAAUAAAUAUUAAAGCAGAACUGAAUCGAUCAUUCAGUAUGCACACAGACUCGACUUCACCAGGGUACCGACGACGUCAGCCCACGGAAGAGGACUUCCUUAACCUGGCGCCUGAUUUUAUGACGUGAACCUGAACGUCAAAUUUGAUUAAUUAAACAGUAUAAAAUAA
Molecule: long non-coding RNA, 812 nt
Organism: Leguminivora glycinivorella
Lineage: Eukaryota; Metazoa; Arthropoda; Insecta; Lepidoptera; Tortricidae
Exons: 3
Source: RefSeq, a predicted model, not a curated record